GGACAGAACAUGGACACAAUGCAAUUGGGAUCAAGAAGAAGAUCUUCUCAGAAAUGAAUCAAGUCCAUUGAAUGGAUAUAGACAAAAAUAUAAUUCAAGUACUAUCAGAGGUAGAGAGGCGAGACCGAGGUGAGGACAUCAUCCUGCUUUUUUGACAGUCCCUGAAGGACAAUACAGAAGAGGACUGGAGACCACGGCAGCGAUUCUGCUCUUGCCCAACCUCUUCAAUUGAGGACCCGAGUGGCCUUAUGUCCGUGACAAGAUUUCACCGCUUUUCACUCGUUUACUGCACAUCAGUGGAAAUCCAUUUCACCAUGAGAGUGAAAACCCGCUGGCCUUUGAUGGGGAGAACAUCCACGCCCUCGAGGACGUCCCCAUGGGACUUGGGGCUCUGCUAGGUCUGUAUUUUUUUAUUUUCCCUUAAAUUUCCUCAAAAUGUCAGUAAAACACUUAUGUUGUUAAUACUGUUAGUACUGUGUUCUGGGGAUAAGAGAAGUUGGGGUGAAGUUACCAGGGUCGGUCAUAAAGAUGGCAAACUUCCUAACAUAACUAAGUGGAUACGAUAUACACACUAAAGCUGAAAAAUCUGUAUUUAGCAUCAAGUCGACAAUGUUGUUAGUUUACCUAUGAUUCAUUUUUAAUGUAAGUUGUUUUUAUUGUACACCGUUAUUUUAUAUUUUUUUAAAUGUCGUGAAAAGCACUAUACAAAGUAAAUGUAUUAUUUAUUAUGGUCUGACAU
Long non-coding RNA from Oncorhynchus keta (chum salmon), 739 nucleotides. RefSeq lists it as uncharacterized. The record is from RefSeq and is a predicted model, not a curated record. Lineage: Eukaryota; Metazoa; Chordata; Actinopteri; Salmoniformes; Salmonidae. The transcript has 4 exons.